Molecule: ribosomal RNA, 391 nt
Filed under: uncultured bacterium
Lineage: Bacteria
Description: bacterial SSU rRNA
Rfam family: Bacterial small subunit ribosomal RNA
Source: RNAcentral
AUUGAACGCUGGCGGAAUGCUUUACACAUGCAAGUCGAACGGCAGCACGGGGCAACCUGGUGGCGAGUGGCGAACGGGUGAGUAAUACAUCGGAACGUGCCCAAUCGUGGGGGAUAACGUAGCGAAAGUUACGCUAAUACCGCAUACGAUCUACGGAUGAAAGCGGGGGAUCGCAAGACCUCGCGCGAAUGGAGCGGCCGAUGUCAGAUUAGGUAGUUGGGUGGGGUAAAGGCUCACCAAGCCGACGAUCUGUAGCUGGUCUGAGAGGACGACCAGCCACACUGGGACUGAGACACGGCCCAGACUCCUACGGGAGGCAGCAGUGGGGAAUUUUGGACAAUGGCGCAAGCCUGAUCCAGCCAUUCCGCGUGCAGGAUGAAGGCCUUCGGUU